Molecule: long non-coding RNA, 2280 nt
Filed under: Equus asinus (donkey)
Lineage: Eukaryota; Metazoa; Chordata; Mammalia; Perissodactyla; Equidae
Description: lncRNA (ENSEASG00005036768.1)
Source: RNAcentral
AAGACGACAAAAGCUUAGAGGGGCUUUCUGGCUUCUUGCUGAAGGUUCCUGGGCCCUAGAAGUGGUAUGGGCAUGGAGCAGUCAUGAAGGCAGGAAAAUGGGUGUCUCAGUAGUAAAUAGUACAGACAGAUCAACAACAACACUGACGAUGUUUAUGUAGUGCUCUGUGCCUGGCACCAUUCUACACGCCUUAUAAGUGUUGAUUCAUUGCGUCCUCACAGCAGCUGCUUCUGUUUCCCCACGAGGAAGCUGAGGGGCGGAUGGUUUAACUUAGGAACCACCGGCAAGUCUUUUUUGAAGCCUCAGCUUGGGGAAGAUCUUGGGUGAGAGGAGAGGCUUCCAUAGUGACUGAGGGUAAAUUUAUCCAAGCUGCAGGAGAUGGAGACUCAAAUUUGAAUUUGAGUCAAUUUAAGAAAAAAAAAUGUGACAUUCUGUUUGUCAACUGAAAUUCAAACUGCCUGUCUCAUUCAUUAACAGAUACUCAUUCUUCUGACUCCACUUUGCCCCGGCCUGACCUGGCUCGGCAAGGGCCAGGAGGAGGGCUCUCUCGCAUUAGGACUGCUUCUUCCACCCUCCCGAGGGAGGGGCUGGCUGGGAAAGGGGGCAGCUGCUUUAAGAGCAAGCACCAAGUACGAAGGUGCCCGCGUCUCCGAGGCCGCUAGGGGCACCGUGAGCCUGCAUUCCCGCAGCCAGCCUCUGCUGCGGCCUGAGAAUCCCUGGAGAUUUCAGAACAGCCAGACUCUACACAAAUGCUGGGAUCCUUGCUCAGGGUCUGGGGCGGAGCUCCAGGAAUCUGUAUUUUGUGAGCCUCCCCCGACUGAUUCUGAUGACCAGUAGGUUUGGGAGCCGCUGAUCCACUUUCUACCAGUCCAGGUGUCCUCCCGGGCCCUCCCCAGGCCCAGCACCCUGACCACAGGUCACCCAGCCUCAGCUUGGACACUGCCCGCAUCAGGGAGCUCAUUGCUUCCCAGGCAUGUGCUGUCAGAGGUUCUGAAUGCCAGCAGGUUCUUUCUUACCCUGAGCCAAAGGUUGGCCUCCUGCUGCCACCUCUGCUCCACAUUCCCCAUCCAGGGCUGGGCUGUACCCACCUUCCCAGCACCUCUUCUGCCAACCCUUCACCUGCGAGGACCGAUGCGGGUCACCAGCUCUUGCACAAGACUCCCAGACUGCCCCCAGGUGCCUGCUCCCUGGACCCGUUUGUCGACAUCACCAUAAAAGACGCAUGCAGCUAAACCUGGGCCUCACCCUGCGGGAAGGUCUGGUCGGGAGAAGAGGCAGAGACCCCACCGUCUCCCUGUGUCAACACUGCCCUUCCGGCUUAGAGACGGUCUUUUUCUCUCUUAUGAUGGGUGAAGGACAUACCUUCUCAACCCACUGUGCAGACUGGGCAACUAAGGCACAGACAAAGGAGGACAGGCUGCGCAGUGCCAGACAGCAAGUGGAAGGCCAAGAUGAACGUGACCAGGAGGAGAAGAGGAGCCUGAAGGCAGGCCACGAAGUUCUGGGGAGAGUGGAAAUGCAGGAAAGGGGACUGUGCCCAUCUCUUUUUGAAUCCCACAUCCUCCUGAAGCCAAGGACCAGAAGGGGCCACAGUACUAUACCUCCAGCCUGGGAAGGAGUCCUCCCCAUUUUAGCAUCAUCAGGGUGGGAGUCGCACGAGUAAGGAGGUGAUCUCUUGCAGGGAGUAAGGAGGGGAUCUCUUGCAGGGAGUAAGGAGGGGAUCUCUUGCCUGCAGGAGAUGUAUUUUUCUUAGAUGUGCUCACAGCACCCGGACCAGCUUGCCAUCCUCUUCCCUCUGGAGCAGAAGGGCCCCGUUUUCCCUUCCCCAAGUGCAGCUGCCUAAUCAGACAGACAGACAGGGACCGCCACUACGUGCUGGGUGCUGGACAGGUGCAGAUGGGCUCCUAGAGCAGGAAGAGAAGGGGUUAGAGGAGGGAGAGGGUCUGGGGAGGCUCCCUCCGGGCCAGGGAAAUGGCCAAGUGGACGCCCGGGGAUUCAGGACCAAGAAGGGCUUGGAACAGCUGGGGGACUAGCAAAGCUAUUUCUGACCCCAACACCAUCGGGGUCCAGUAUGGUAGCCACUAGCUACACGUGGCUAGUGAGCCCUGGAAAUGCGACUUUUCCUAAUUGAGAGGUGCUGUCAGUGUAAAAUACACAGCAGAUUUCAAAGACUUGAUAUUAAAAAAAGAAUGUAAAAUACCUUAUUGUUACUGUUUUAUGUUAUAGAUUAAAACAAUAUUUAGGAUCUAUUGAACUAAAUAAAAUAUAUUAUUAAAAUUA